Molecule: unclassified non-coding RNA, 337 nt
Filed under: soil metagenome
Description: partial contains 5.8S ribosomal RNA, internal transcribed spacer 2, and large subunit ribosomal RNA
Rfam family: 5.8S ribosomal RNA (bases 1-121)
Source: RNAcentral
GAUGAAGAACGUAGCGAAAUGCGAUAAGUAAUGCGAAUUGCAGAAUUCCAGUGAGUCAUCGAAUCUUUGAACGCACAUUGCGCCCAUUGGUAUUCCGAUGGGCAUGCCUGUUCGAGCGUCAUUUCAACCAUCAAGCCCCAGGCUUGUGUUGGGGACCUGCGGCUGCCGCAGGCCCUGAAAACCAGUGGCGGGCUCGCUGUCACACCGGGCGUAGUAGAUUUUAUCUCGCUCAGGGCGUGCUGCGGGUUCCGGCCGUUAAAAAGCCUUUUUUACCCAAGGUUGACCUCGGAUCAGGUAGGAAGACCCGCUGAACUUAAGCAUAUCAAUAAGCGGAGGA